UACGGAGGGUGCGAGCGUUAAUCGGAAUUACUGGGCGUAAAGCGCACGCAGGCGGUUUGUUAAGCUAUGAUGUGAAAGCCCCGGGCUCAACCUGGGAUGGUCAUUUAGAACUGGCAGACUAGAGUCUUGGAGANGGGAGUGGAAUUCCAGGUGUAGCGGUGAAAUGCGUAGAUANCAGGAGGAACAUCAGUGGCGAAGGCGANUCCCUGGCCAAAGACUGACGCUCNUGUGCGAAAGUGUGGGUAGCNAACAUU
RNAcentral lists this ribosomal RNA (254 nucleotides) under uncultured bacterium. RNAcentral's name for it is "partial 16S ribosomal RNA". It matches the Rfam family "Bacterial small subunit ribosomal RNA", at positions 524 to 776 of the family's 1533-position model. The record is from RNAcentral.